Molecule: long non-coding RNA, 10464 nt
Filed under: Triticum aestivum (bread wheat)
Lineage: Eukaryota; Viridiplantae; Streptophyta; Magnoliopsida; Poales; Poaceae
Description: long non-coding RNA (TAES_LNC000737)
Source: RNAcentral
GAAACAACAGCUCCAAAAGACAACCAUCAAAGCAUGACACUGAAACAGCAGCUCCAAGCUUGCCUACAUCCAAAAGCUUCUUGAUAUCCCAGGAUAUUCUUCACAUGCCAUUACUGGUUUAGAGAAAAUAGAGGAAGGGUCAGGAUGGAGGUAGUCUGCAUUGGAAUUAUCUUCUGCCACUUUGUGCAACAAAAAAUAAAAUGGAUUAUCAGGAGAAGUAGCUAGUAGAACAAUAUUCAAAUGUUAUGCAUGCUCAUGAAUGAAAUAACAAAUCUACUACAUCAAUAUAGUUUUUAUUCACCAAAAAGCUUCAGGAGCAAAGGUUAUGGCUCCAUAUACUAGAAUGACGAAUUUUAGUUUAUAGUUUGUACUCCAGCACAACAAAACUCUAAGGAUACAAAGAAAGCAACAUAGACACAAACAGCCCGCUGUUGGCUUGGACUAGCCAUUUGUCAAUUGUCACAUAGAAGGAAAAUCCACGGUGAAAAAUGUGAAUCAAAAAUCAGGCAUAAGCUCAAGGUAUUGCAGGAUAAAUAUAGUGGUAACAUACCUAUAAAACAGCAGCUCCAAGCUUGCAUACAUCCAAAAGCUUCUUGAUACCCUUAGUUCUUCAUGUGGCAUUUUUGGUUUAGAGAAAACAGAGAAAGGAUCAGGAGGGAUGUAGUUCAACAUCAAAAUUUUCUUCUUCCACUUUGUGCAUAAUCAAAUAAAAUGGACUAACAGAGAACAUCACUACUAGGUGAUUGGUAGCAAUUAGAACAACACUGAUAGGUGGCAAUUACAACAGCAAUACAAGAAGAUAAGUGGCAACACUGAUAAGUAUAGCAACUACAACAUCAAUACAAGAAGAUAAGUGGCAAUUAUAACACUACUAGGUGAUAAUUGACAAGUAGCAAUUAGAGCAACAAUACUGAUCAUACACAGUGAGAAUAAACAUUAGAGCACCAUAACAAUUAAAUAUCAACCUACUUAAAGAAAGAAAUGCACAUCAAGCUAUUUGCUUCAAACAUAAAAAACAUCAAGCUAAAAUUUUGAAGCGGAGACGCCGAAAAUAAGAGACUUACCAAAUCUACGAGUAGAGGCUGUUCACUUCCUUGGUCUUCUUCCUAACUAGUCGUCCAGAUCUACGAGUCUCCAAAUUGCCAACACUUGCUGCUGUCUCCUUUUCAGCUUGUACUUGUGUCUCUUCUUCCACUUGCAUUUGUGUCUCUUGCAGAUCUUGUUGAUCAUCCUCAUCAUCCUCACUCACCCCAUCAUCAUCCUCACUCUCAUUAUCAACAUACUCAUUCUCUUCAUCGUCAUCCUCACUCUCAGUUUCCACUUGCAUUUGCAUCAUGGUUGCCACUACCACUCCUAUUUGCAUUUCCAUUACCUGAAAAUCACAUGACAAAAGAACAACGGUCAGCUAUGAAGAGUAGGUAACUAAGAAAGCCACACUUGCUUACUAGGGUGUCCCCAUAUGAAUGAUAAACAAAAACAGUACAACCCGAUCUACUAGGGUGUCACUUGCUUACUUAAUGGUAUUGCUGACCAUUGAAAUUAAUCAUUGGGUCAACAUCUACUUACUUAAAUACACACGUAACACAACUGCUUUUUUAUUGGACGUGCUGUAGAUCUAAAUAAAUGAUCGAUUCAAACAUCUGAUGCUUCUUCAAAUAUACAAGCCAGUGGUUGGAUGUGAUAAAAGACGCUAUAACAUUGCGCACAAGAAUCAUCUCAACAGCUCAAAACGCAAGCACACAACCCAGAUUUAUGGAACGAUUGUAUAUUUGAGGAUGUUAAUAACAAGGUUUGUAACCCACUUUUCUUUUGGACCAAAAUAAAUAUUACCAGAUCGUGAGCAUCCUUGGUGACUAGAAGCAAAAUAUGCAUGAAAACAGAUGUGAAUCAUACAAAAUUACAUGGUAAUAGAGCACAUCUUGCUUCUUCCAUCCUUUGGCAGUCAGGCUCAUUAAUUGUUAGUUGCCAACUCGUCGUAUUCCAUGCAUAUGCAGUAGCAAGUAGACGGAAAAUCUUUCUAAUGCCAGCAGAUGCAACAAGUAGAGGGCGAACCCAACUAGCAAGCAAGCAGUCCGAUGCAGCAACAAGCAGGAAGCUACUCGUACAACAAUCGAUCAAGCUGCUUGUAAUAGCUAGCUAGCUGUGUACGUACAAUUAAUCAAGCUGCUUGUAAUAGCUAUAUAGCUUUGUAUAGAUUGCUGCUUCAAGCACUACCGGAAUCGCACCCUAUGCCGACGGCCAGGCCAUGACUAGCCGUCGGGUCAGGCCUAUGCCGACGGCCCCCGUCGGCAUAGGGCCGUCGGCAACAUAUCCGUCGGCGUAGCCAGGAUGACCGUCGGCAUAGAAAAGCCGUCGGCAUAGACCCUAUGCCGACGGUGGCCGUACAUCUAUGCCGACGGCCUUGGCCGUCGGCAACGUCAUCGCCUAACGGCGGCCGCCGUCAAGUGCUGCCCAAUGGCUUCUCGCCACGUGGCGAGACGCCGUUCAGCAUGGGCGUGUCUAUGCCGACGGCCCAGCCGUCGGCUUAGUUUGAAAUUAUGCCGACGGCUAGGCCGUCGGCAUAGACACGCCACGUGUCAGAUACUGGGCGCUCCUGGGGCAGGUCUAUGCCGACGGCCUGGCCGUCGGCAUAGACGUGCCACGUGUCGGCCACUGGGAGCUCACGCCAGGCCUAUGCCGACGGCCAGGCCGUCGGCAUAGAUUCUGUCCAGUUUUUUUUUCUUUUUUCUGUUUCUUUUCAGCUCAAUUCAUUUGAAUAUAUAACAAACAGCAUAUAGAACAAACAGCAUAUACACAGCAUCACACAACAAAUUGGCAUCGCUAAGAAGCAUCGCAAAGCAUCACACAUAUAAAGUAUCAUCACCACAAAGCAUAUAAGAAUCUCACAAACAACAAUAAGAUAAGUAUCAUCACAAGCAUACAAGUAUCAUAGCAUCGAGAACAAGCAAGUAUCAUAGCAUCGAGAAAGGCUUAAGCGCCAGGACGUCGAGCACCGCGGAGGUCGUCACCGCCAAGACCGCCGAAGCCCAGGUCGUCACUGCUAGCGGCAGCGCUACCGCCAAGACCGCCUCCGCCUCCGUCUCCGUGGAUCGGAGUGGUCGGGCUCCGUGUCUCGGGAGUGUUGCGAAGACCACCGCCAAUGGUAGAUGCACCUGUUCCCUGGAUGUUGAAAAGAUAUAUUAACGAGAUAUAAGACUGUGUUGAAAGGCAUGACAUGCUUUGGGUGAAUUGAUUGGGGAUGAACUAACCGGCGAGGGGCCAGUGUUCUGUGCCACAAACUCCUCAAAGGUCAGCAGCACUGGUUGUGCUGGAGGACCCUCUGCUGAUGGCCAUUGAAGACACUUGCCGGCCGCCAUUUCCUGAAAAGCGUGCUGCAUCUCGCGAUCCCUCUGCUGAUGGUAUGCAUGAAGGCGGUCGUGCCACGCCAUGGUCUCAUGGUGUGUGUACUCCAUGUAGGCCUACAGUAUGACAUGAUGAGACUCAUAAAACUACUAAAUGCGGAAAAUAAAGGGAACAAUGAAGAUAAAAGGGAAAAUACUUACAGUUUGCUGCUCCGGAAAGAGGGACAGUGACGGUGCACUGCUCAUGCGCGAGCUCGUGCGCUGGCUCAGGGUCGGGUUGAUCCGACGGAGCUGUGUGUAGGAGAUAGACGGAGUGAUCACAGCAUCGAGAACCGCCUCCCUUUCGUACAGAUCCGCCGCAAUGGGGUCAGGUGUGUCAGGAUGUAACGCCAGAUACCCUUCGGAGUAGGCCUUCUUCCUCCCCGCGGUCUUCUUGCGGUAGUACUUGGGCUCGCCAGGCUUGGGGUCCUUCCGCGUAUGGGCGAUCUCCCACGCCUGCAUGUGUGAGAGCGGCCGCUUCAGUUUCUCCUCCUGCACCACCAAACAGAGGUUAGUCAUACAUAAGAAAGUGAUGGUAAAUAGAAGAAGAAGAAUGUUUAAUGGGGUUAGCUAGUCAUACAUUAACUGCCUUGUGGAGAUAGUGGUUUCGGUUCCCCUGAGCAUGUACUCCCUCCUUCCCUCGGUUAGCCUUGUUUUUGACUCUCAUAGCCGCCCAGGCUCCAGCCUCAUCACACCAAAGAUCCACCAAUGCCGCCCAGGACUCGUCUUUUCCAUAACACCAAUUUGGACACACCUACAUAAUAAAAGCAUAAUGGCAUGUCAACACGAAACGGUGAAAUGUACCACAAGGUAAUGAAAGCAUAAUGAAAGCAUAAUGAAAAAUCUUUUAUACUUACCGCCAAGAACUCGUCCCUCUCCAAGGUAAUGCCCAUCCUCCGCGCUUCUUCCUUGGUCAUCUUCACACCAAGAUAGUCGUGGUAGUAUGUCGAGAUGGCCACAUAGCGCACCUCGUACUGCAUCUGGCGGGCCUUCUUCUUGCAUUGGCGUAGCACGAUCUGGUCCGCUCUGCCCCUGUGCUCCGGGAGAACUCGAUAGAAUUUCUACAAUCAUGCACGAAACAAGAAUGGAAGAAGCCAUGAGUUAAAUCAUUCAUGAAACUAGAAUGGACUUGUGCUUCUGAAGAGAACUCACCUAGAAAGUGGUGAUCACGGCCUUGGCAUGGGUCCCAUGCUCCGCGUGGAGGGCCGCUUCCCAGUGCUCCCAGCUCGUGGCCAAGACCCGAUGGUCCGGGUGCCUGACUGGAUCCGGACAGUACAACCCCGGCCAGUGUAACUUCAGCAGGACGGUGAUGAGGCCGUUGGGAAUACGGACCCCUUUAGAAUAUAUCCAGUUGCUGCAAAAGAAUGAACUAUUAGCAUGUGACAAGAAAAAUAAAUAACAACCGGAAUGAGCAUGUGACAAGCAAAAUAAUGAAAUUAUUAUAAAGUGGCACUUACUCUUUCCCCGUGGGCUCAAUGAGCCACUUCUGCUCCUCAGUAGCAGGAACCUGCUUUGGUAGCUUUGCGUUACCACGCAGCCACCCCUUGUUGUCAACCCCCUCCCCGCUAGCACCAUCAUCCCCGCCACCACCCUCCUCCUCGCCUGCCUUCCCCUCCCCAACCUCCUCCUCAUCCUCCUCCUCCUCGUCCUCCUCCUCCACCUCCUCCUCGGCCCCAUCCCGAACCUCCUCCUCCUCGCCUGCCUCGUCCUCCUCCUCCUCCUCACCAGAGGAGGUUACCUCACUAGAGGAUGGCCUCGAAGACAACACCCCUAAGUCGGUGAGGGUGCGCUCUUUCUGGCCGCGACCCCCUGUAGUGGCUCUCCCCCACCUCGCCCUCUAGGGGCUCUCCCCCCGCCCCCUCCUCCUCUAGGGGCACCUCUCCCUCGACCUCCCUGUGAGGAGUCAUCGUCAAGUAGCCGGGGGGGGAGGAUUACGUGCUCGACCACUCCGACUAGGCAGGCCAACGACCUUGCGUAGGAAACCCACGCCGUCGGCCUUCCCCUUGCCCAUGUUCCACGAACCUGCAUUGAAAAGAGAAUAAGCAAUUAGUAAAUUAAUGAAAUGAAGGAAAAGGCAUGAAAAUAAACACAUUAAUAAAAAGGCAUAUUCCUAAACUAUAGAAAAAAGACUUGACACGUACAUCUGCUAGAAACCAUAUGAAUCAUCACUGUUGUAACCUCUUUCUCGGUCCGUCUCAUCAUCACUAUCAAUCAUAUCAUCUUCGUUGUCUGACGGAGGUGGAGGCUCUUCCUCGUCGUCAGCGUCUAAGUUUAACUUUUCUAGCAUAAGUAUGUCAUUUUCAUUGACAAUAGUCUCACCAUCAUUCCGUGCUUCGUCGUCGUUUGGAUCCACAUCAUCAUCACCCAAUGGUCUAGCGUCAUCGUUUCUAACCACAUCAUCAUCAUCAGGUUGCUCUUGAUAGAACACUCCCUCGUAUGUCAUGGGGUUAAUGUUGUAGUAAUCGUCUUCAUUCGGGUUCGGUAGCUUACCAUGUGGCGACACCUUGAACACAACUUCCCAACCCUUUAGGUACUCUUUCUGGCAUGGGUAAGGCAGAUAAUAUACUUGUGUAGCUUGGGUAGCCGCAAUGAAGAGAUCGGCUCCGGCAUAGACGGUUGAUGGUUUAACUUCGACCAAACCAAUGGAAGGCGUAUGUUUUACCCCCUCCCGCGGAUCGAACCAUCGACAUUUGAACAUAGGCAGACUUAGGGUCUCGCGCCCCUGGUGGAAUUUAAUCUCGUAUAUAUUUUGUACCCUUCCGUAGUAGUCUACUGAAUUUUGACCGGGGGUGUACACUCCGGUAUUUAUAGUUUUGGGAUCAGGCCGGCUGUUCUGGUGAUCCUCUGUAUGGAAACGAUACCCAUUCACAUCAUACUUUUUACAUGUCAUGACGGCAGGGUCAAAACCCAUGGAAACCCAUCUCAAUUCAUCAUCCAUAGAUAUGUUCGGAUCUUUUCCCUACAAGUAUCAUUGAAAUUGUUGCGUGCAUUAGUUAACUAAUAAAUGUUGAACUAGGUAUUUAAUAGGGGAGUGUGGACAAUUACUUUCUCCAUGAACCAAGCAACAAAAUUUUUACGUCCAGGGUUUCCAUGACGGAGAAGAGUAAGUGCCUCCGCCUCAGUAGGAGGAUUCAUUCCCGUCCAUUCCUCUUGAACGAAAUCACUAAAAAAAAGAAAACCGGUGUUAAACCGGGACUAAGUGAACAUAAAACAUGAUGAUGUGGAAGACAUAAAGGAAUGGUGUAGUGGUAUUACCUCAUCCACACUUCCUCAACUUCCCUGAUGUUGUGCAAGAUAUAGAACAUGAGGUCCUCCCACUCUUGUCGUGGCAUGUUAUAAGGUUUCGAGGCCCCAGCCCUCCCACCUUGCGCGUUGAAUAGAUAGAGCUUGGGUUGAUAAUUCGGCUCUUCUAUAUUGUAUCGAGGCACCUUGUUAUGCAGAUGGGGAACGUGGUCUGGAUAGUAUGAUGUCCUGAGGUCUGACACCUCCUCUAGGAUAACUGCCUCAGCUAUGGAAGCUUCAAUCUUAGCUUUGUUUCCACAUUUCUGUCGGAGAUGCUUGUUCUGUCUCUCAGGGCCGUACUGCCAGCGAUUCUGCACAGGCCCCCCCAACAAUACCUCGUUCGCGAGGUGCAGAAUGAGAUGUGUCGUCGGUGUAAAGAAGCCUGGCGGAAAGAUCUUCUCUAGCUUGACUAUCAACUCCGGUGCCUUCUUAUGCAAUUUUUCAAUCACGUCUUUACUUACUUCUUUAGCACAGAGCGUGCGGAAGAAAUGGCUUACCUCGGCAAGCACUCGCCAGACAUGCUCGGGGACAUAGCCUCGAACCAUCACCGGCAUUAUCCGCUCAAUCCAUACAUGGUAGUCAUGACUCUUCAGGCCGGUCACUUUGCCCGUUGAAAGAUUGACUCCCUUACUUAUAUUCGAUGCAUAACCAUCGGUGAACUUCAAAAUGUGUUUCAGCCAGAUAAGUACUUCCUUUUUUCUGGCGGUUUAAGGACAAAGUCAGCAUCUGGCUUGAACCAGUUUUUUCGACCGCCUGUGGGAGGCUUCAUGUUCAGACGUGGUCUAUCACAAAUUCUCUGUUGAUCGGCUCUAGCUUUAACGUUAUCCUUCGUCUUAUCAGGAAUAUUGAGGAUCGUGUGGAAAAGGGACUCUGCCACAUUCUUUUCGGUGUGCAUCACAUCGAUAUUGUAAGGAAGUUUGAGGUCCUUGAAAUAGGGAAGCUGUGAGAAGGGGGUAAUGUGUGUCCAGUUGUGUGUCUCACCAUAUCCCUCGAAGCCUUUGGCUUUGGCUUUGCCUUUGCCUUUGACUUUAGGCUGGAGAGCUUUUAGCUGAGCAAGAACAUCUGCCCCCAAAAAUGUUGGAAUAUCGGUUACUUCAUGAACAACCCGGCCUUUCGUGAAGUUCUUCUUGUCUUCCCUGUCUGGAUGGUCUGGAGGGAGGAACUGUCGAUGCAGGUCAAAGGCUACAUACUUGCCACCCUUACUCAGCCAAAUCAUUCGCAGAGCCUGCAUGCACACUGGGCAUGGCAUCUUCCCACUUGUACACCAUCCGCAGAAUAGAGCAUAGCCGGGAAAGUCAUGCAUGCAAUAGUGCAACCAAACUUUCAUCAAGAAAUUUCUCUGCAGAUCCCGGUCGUAUGUCAACGUCGGAAAGUACCAAGAAUGGUGCAAAGCAUCCACCAGCGGCUGCAUAAACACACCCAAUUGCUUCCCCGGAUAAUCAGGCCCCGGAAUGAUGAGCGACAAGAACAUGGUCUUGCGUUGCAUUAGGGCACCGGGAGGAAGAUUGAGCGGAAUUACAAACACGGGCCAGCGGCUGUAUGGAUUGGACGACAUACCAUAUGGAUUCAACCCAUCACCUGAUAUGGCUAUUCUGACAUUCCCAGCCUCGGCUGCUUCCUCGGGGUAUUCUUCAUCGAACGACUUCCAUGCUUCCCCUUCCGAUGGAUGUACGAUUUUUUUUGGAUUGUACCUUAUACCUUCCUUGUGCCACUUCAUCAUUUUGGCAGACUCCUUCGUGAUGAAAAGGCGCUGCAAUCUUUUUAUAAAAUCAAGAUACCGAAGAACCUUAACGGGGAUGGUUAGCUGCUUUUUCUCACCAUCCUCACCGACCACCUCAAUGUACCGAGACGAACCGCACUGCCUACAGUACUUGUCAUCCGCAUACUCAUGCCUAAACAAAAGGCAAUUCUUCAGGCAAACAUCUAUUUUCUCAUAAUCCAUAGAGAGUGCCUUCAUGAUUUUCUUUGUAUCGUACAUGCUUUUCGGCAGUUCAUGACCCUCAGGGAGGCUGUUAGCCCAUACUCCCAAGAAUGCUUCGAAGCAUUUCUGGCUAUAGCCGUACUCAGCCUUGACUGCAAUCAGUUGCGAGAUGGCAUCCAGCUGAGAUAUUUUCGCCCCCGCAUAAAGAGGUUUCUUCGACGAGGCCAAGACCUCCAAGAAGGCCUUUGCGGUUGCCUCCGGCUCCUCCGGUUCAUUCUCUGAAGGUGUCGCAUUUCCUGUUUCUGCAACAAUGACAUCAUCUAGCAUGUCCCUGACCCCGUCGUCCUCAUAUCCAUCGAUGCGUUGUCGCAUCACCUCCUCUCUACCACGGUCCUGCUCGGCUAUGUUUAUCGGCGGCAUGUCAAAGUUUGGCAUAUAUCCGUGCGUGCGAAGGUGCUCACUCAUGUCCGUCUGAUUUCUACGGUGACGUCUGGCACAUCUCGCACAGGGGCAUGGUGGGAUAAUUCUCAUUGGACGACGGAAUAUCUCCUUCAAAUAGACAUCGGUUUUCGCGAUCCACUCUGAUGUUACUCGAUUCCGACGGAUAAAACCACUGUACAUCCACUGAUUAUCUGCCAUCCUCUGCUUUUUUGCAAGCCACACAACAUAAUUAAGGAUUCAUUUAAAUUAAUCACAUCAAAUUUUCAGUUUCUACCGCGUUUAAUCCACCUACAUCUCUAAUAGGUAAAGAUGGGUCCUAAUCCCACCCGAGGAUGUGUAGAUUGAGUACGUUCUCCAUUCUACCCCGUUCCGAGACAAAAUUUUGGCAGCACCUCCCCGCUGUUCUCCAGAUACACGUCUCGGCAAAUAGCCGAGAGAAUGUGCUCCGGAGAACAAUGGGGAGGCGCCGCCGAAAUCCUGUCUCGGAAUGGGGUAGAACAUGGAGAACAUACCCAAUCUACACAUCCUCGGGCUGUCCGUGGAAAACGCUGGACAAUCCGAAAGAGCUGCGGUGAUAAAUAUGCAAUUGAAUGCAUAUUUAUCGAUGCAACCCUUUCAGACGGGAGACGCCUAAGUUACGCCACUUGACUUGAGAAUGAAAUCUAGUGACAUGAAAACAUGGAGGAGAUGGACUUGUAGCUCACCCUCGGCUGUAGGGGAAGGAGUCGAACAACAGAGGGAUGCUCACAGACCAACGCGUCGGACGACGGUCACUUUGGUGAAAUGCAACACCACAAAGCCUGCAAAUUCCACCGAAAGAACAACUUAGUCAAAAAAAUCAUUAUGAACAAUUUUGUCUUCAGUUAUUUUAUCAACAUCAUUAUGUGUAUCAACAUGACCUAACAUUAAAUUUCUGACAAACAAAGCGGUCCCGACGGCCUCGUAUAUGCCGACGGCCCCGUCGGCAUAUAUGUAUUUAUGCUGACGGCUUUUCUACGCCUACGGCCUGCCCUUGGCCGUCGGCAUAGCGGCAUUUAUGCCGACGGGUGCCGUCGGCAUAGAUUUGGCCGUCGGCAAACGAAGUUUUUCUGGUAGUGAAGUAGGAAGAUAUAAAGGCAUCAAGAACAUCUGUACCUUCCCAACCAAGAGGACACCCUCCAUACUGCUGCCGCUGCCCCGUGCUCCUGCCUCCGUUGAACUGGUCGGCUCGCGCACCAUCACCUCCGUUGCCGCAGCCGCCGAGCACCAUGCCGCCGUCUUGAAGAAGCAAUGGACAGGGAGUGGAUGGGGUGGAUGCGAGGAGUCGUGGAGGGCGGCAGGAGGCUAGUGAGCGCCGGCGAGAUGCGGAGGACGCGGGAGAAGCAGCGCUGGAGUGAGAUGUGUCUGCUCGAUGUGCAGCGGCGGCGCCGCACACGGGAGGAGCCAGAGGAAAUCGCGAAC